RNAcentral lists this ribosomal RNA (75 nucleotides) under Kalopanax septemlobus. RNAcentral describes it as "partial 26S ribosomal RNA". The record is from RNAcentral. Lineage: Eukaryota; Viridiplantae; Streptophyta; Magnoliopsida; Apiales; Araliaceae.
CCCAGGUCAGGCGGGACUACCCGCUGAGUUUAAGCUACAAACGCCGGGAAGGAAAAAAAAAAUUCCGGGGAACUC